GGGGCUGUGGCGCAGUUGGGAGCGCGAUUCGUUCGCAACGAAUAGGUCGAGGGUUCGAAUCCCUUCAGCUCCACCA
Molecule: transfer RNA, 76 nt
Filed under: Pyramidobacter piscolens W5455
Lineage: Bacteria; Thermotogati; Synergistota; Synergistia; Synergistales; Dethiosulfovibrionaceae
Also listed under: 7 other names
Description: tRNA-Ala
Rfam family: tRNA
About the family: Transfer RNA (tRNA) molecules are approximately 80 nucleotides in length. Their secondary structure includes four short double-helical elements and three loops (D, anti-codon, and T loops).
Source: RNAcentral